Long non-coding RNA from Tribolium madens (black flour beetle), 259 nucleotides. RefSeq lists it as uncharacterized. The transcript is spliced from 3 exons. Lineage: Eukaryota; Metazoa; Arthropoda; Insecta; Coleoptera; Tenebrionidae. The record is from RefSeq and is a predicted model, not a curated record.
GAUGCAGAUAAYAUUCUGAAACACUACAACCAUGUUGAAAUACUUUAAAGUUGCUACUGUUGCUGUUAUAGUUUUAAGCAGCCUUAUUAUGACUGCUUAUGCACAAGGACAAUCAGGACAAGGACAGGGACAAGGACAGGGACAACAACCAGAAUAAAAACUGAUUUGAAAGGUUUACCAGAAUUUGAAGAGCGAAAACUCCACAUGCACAUUAUGUAAUAUUGGAAUUUAAGCUUAAUAAAUUACUUAAAAGCAAUAA